RNAcentral lists this ribosomal RNA (492 nucleotides) under uncultured organism. RNAcentral describes it as "SSU rRNA". It matches the Rfam family "Bacterial small subunit ribosomal RNA", at positions 10 to 509 of the family's 1533-position model. The record is from RNAcentral.
AGUUUGAUCCUGGCUCAGGAUAAACGCUGGCGGCGCACAUAAGACAUGCAAGUCGAACGGACUUAACUCAUUCUUUUAGAUUGAGAGCGGUUAGUGGCGGACUGGUGAGUAACACGUAAGCAACCUGCCUAUUAGAGGGGAAUAACAACGAGAAAUCGUUGCUAAUACCGCAUAAGCUGAUAGUAUCGCAUGAUACAGUCAGAAAAGGAGUAAUCCGCUAAUAGAUGGGCUUGCGGCUGAUUAGCUAGUUGGUGGGGUAACGGCCUACCAAGGCGACGAUCAGUAGCCGAGCUGAGAGGCUCUACGGCCACAUUGGGACUGAGAUACGGCCCAGACUCCUACGGGAGGCAGCAGUCGGGAAUAUUGCGCAAUGGAGGAAACUCUGACGCAGUGACGCCGCGUAUAGGAUGAAGGUUUUCGGAUUGUAAACUAUUGUCGUUAGGGAAGAAAUUUGACAGUACCUAAGGAGGAAGCUCCGGCUAACUACGUGCC